AACCUUAUGGACCUGCGGGCGUAUACCUGCGGAAGGAUCAUUACCGAGUGCGGGCCCCCGCGGCCCAACCUCCCACCCUUGUCUCUAUACACCUUGUUGCUUUGGCGGGCCCACCGGGGCCACCUGGUCGCCGGGGGACGCUCGUCCCCGGGCCCGCGCCCGCCGGAGCGCCCUGUGAACCCUGAUGAAGAUGGGCUGUCUGAGUACGAUAAAAAUGGUCAAAACUUUCAACAACGGAUC
This 240-nucleotide unclassified non-coding RNA is filed under the name soil metagenome. Its description in RNAcentral is "partial contains 5.8S ribosomal RNA, internal transcribed spacer 2, and large subunit ribosomal RNA". The record is from RNAcentral.